RNAcentral lists this unclassified non-coding RNA (337 nucleotides) under soil metagenome. RNAcentral's name for it is "partial contains 5.8S ribosomal RNA, internal transcribed spacer 2, and large subunit ribosomal RNA". The stretch from base 1 to 120 matches the Rfam family "5.8S ribosomal RNA", at positions 35 to 154 of the family's 154-position model. The record is from RNAcentral.
GAUGAAGAACGUAGCGAAAUGCGAUAAGUAGUGUGAAUUGCAGAAUUCAGUGAAUCAUCGAAUCUUUGAACGCACAUUGCGCCCCUUGGUAUUCCAUGGGGCAUGCCUGUUCGAGCGUCAUUUGUACCCUCCAGCCCUGCUGGGUAUUGGGCGUUUUGUUCCGCUACGCGCGUGAACUCGCCUCAAAUGCAUUGGCAGCCCGCCGUCCCGUGUGGGAGCGCAGCACAUUUUGCGCUCUCCGCUGCUGACGGUGGCAUCCACAAGUCUAACAUUUUACGCUUGACCUCGGAUCAGGUAGGGAUACCCGCUGAACUUAAGCAUAUCAAUAAGCGGAGGA